Amphimedon queenslandica is the source of this 221-nucleotide long non-coding RNA. RefSeq lists it as uncharacterized. The record is from RefSeq and is a predicted model, not a curated record. NCBI's taxonomy places the organism in Eukaryota, Metazoa, Porifera, Demospongiae, Haplosclerida, Niphatidae. The transcript is spliced from 3 exons.
AGUUGUAUCAUGCAGUAGUAGGUGCCAGUUUACAUCUGUAUAGGUUUCAUAUUAUUGUAGUCUUGGCAAUGGAAUAUGUAGUUCUGAUUCAAGUUUACAUACUUUAGAUUAGCUUGAUGAUUAUAUCAUUAAUAAUGGCCACAGUCUCGUAAACUGUGGAAAAGUUUGAGAGCUGUGAGCGGGAAAGUGGCAAAUGAAGCUGAAUGUAAACUUAAAUAGUU